Molecule: unclassified non-coding RNA, 432 nt
Filed under: soil metagenome
Description: partial contains 5.8S ribosomal RNA, internal transcribed spacer 2, and large subunit ribosomal RNA
Rfam family: 5.8S ribosomal RNA (bases 1-120)
Source: RNAcentral
GAUGAAGAACGCAGCUAAAUGCGAUACGUAAUGUGAAUUGCAGAAUUCAGUGAAUCAUCGAAUCUUUGAACGCAUAUUGCGCUCUCUGGUAUUCCGGAGAGCAUGCUUGUUUGAGUAUCAGUAAACACCUCAACUUCCAUAUCUUUUUUGAAAUGGGAGUUGGACUUGAGUGAUCCCAACGCUUUUCCUCACCGAAAAGUGGCGGGUUACUUGAAAUGCAGGUGCAGCUGGACUUUUCUCUGAGCUAUAAGCAUAUCUAUUUAGUCUGCCUAAAAAACAGAUUAUUACCUUUGCUGCAGCUAACAUAAAGGAGAUUAGUUCUUGUGCUGACUGAUGCAGGAUUCACAAAGACGGCUUCGGCCGACUUUGUAAACUCGAUCUCAAAUCAAGUAAGACUACCCGCUGAACUUAAGCAUAUCAAUAAGCGGAGGA